CGGGGCGUGGCGCAGUUGGUAGCGCACCUGGUUUGGGACCAGGGGGCCACCGGUUCAAGUCCGGUCGCCCCGA
This 73-nucleotide transfer RNA is filed under the name Candidatus Rifleibacteriota bacterium. RNAcentral's name for it is "tRNA-Pro". It matches the Rfam family "tRNA". Rfam says of the family: Transfer RNA (tRNA) molecules are approximately 80 nucleotides in length. Their secondary structure includes four short double-helical elements and three loops (D, anti-codon, and T loops). Further hydrogen bonds mediate the characteristic L-shaped molecular structure. tRNAs have two regions of fundamental functional importance: the anti-codon, which is responsible for specific mRNA codon recognition, and the 3' end, to which the tRNAs corresponding amino acid is attached (by aminoacyl-tRNA synthetases). tRNAs cope with the degeneracy of the genetic code in two manners: having more than one tRNA (with a specific anti-codon) for a particular amino acid; and 'wobble' base-pairing, i.e. permitting non-standard base-pairing at the 3rd anti-codon position. Lineage: Bacteria; Candidatus Rifleibacteriota. The record is from RNAcentral.